GGGGAUGUAGCUCAUCAUAUGGUAGAGCGCUCGCUUUGCAUGCGAGAGGUACGGGGAUUGAUACACCGCAUCUCCA
This is a transfer RNA of Ipomoea nil (Japanese morning glory), 76 nucleotides long. It matches the Rfam family "tRNA". From Rfam's summary of the family: Transfer RNA (tRNA) molecules are approximately 80 nucleotides in length. Lineage: Eukaryota; Viridiplantae; Streptophyta; Magnoliopsida; Solanales; Convolvulaceae. The record is from Rfam.